Molecule: ribosomal RNA, 452 nt
Filed under: uncultured bacterium
Lineage: Bacteria
Description: bacterial SSU rRNA
Rfam family: Bacterial small subunit ribosomal RNA
Source: RNAcentral
AACGAACGCUGGCGGCAGGCUUAACACAUGCAAGUCGAACGGGCUCUUCGGAGCUAGUGGCAGACGGGUGAGUAACGCGUGGGAACCUACCUAUAAGUACGGAACAACACAGAGAAAUUUGUGCUAAUACCGUAUGUGGUCCUCGGAUUAAAGAUUUAUCGCUUAUAGAUGGGCCCGCGUUAGAUUAGCUAGUUGGUGAGGUAAUGGCUCACCAAGGCGACGAUCUAUAGCUGGUCUGAGAGGAUGAUCAGCCACACUGGGACUGAGACACGGCCCAGACUCCUACGGGAGGCAGCAGUGAGGAAUAUUGGACAAUGGGGGCAACCCUGAUCCAGCCAUGCCGCGUGAGUGAUGACGGCCUUAGGGUUGUAAAGCUCUUUCGCUAGGGAAGAUAAUGACGGUACCUAGUAAAGAAGCCCCGGCUAACUUCGUGCCAGCCGCCGCCGUAAUAC